GGAGUCGAGGAGACCCGGGCCACCCGCGUCGGGACCAGAGAGGCUCGCUCCUGCCCCAUUCGCGACGCGGCUGACUGAGCCGGAGCCGGACCACGUGGGCGAAGGCGGAAGUGGAACGACCGACUGCACGGCGGCCGAGCGCGGACAAAACUAAUUCGGGAGAAGAGACAAACUCAUAUGAUCCUGGGCCCGCGCAGAUAAUCUGGCAUAAUCUCAAAAUCCUUAAUCCCAUCUCUGGGGCCACAAUUCAACCAACUACAAGCUUGAAUUUGGGGAAUGAGCCAUGGAGGUGUUGGGGAGAGCGUGUUCCUGGCAGUGCAAGAGCCAGGAGGCAGGAGACAGCCGUCUGCAGCAGCCCCACUCCCGCCCUCCAGGGGCUGUGCCUUCUCCUACAGAAGUACCAGGAGGAUCACGGCGCCCACAGCC
Molecule: long non-coding RNA, 426 nt
Organism: Homo sapiens (human)
Lineage: Eukaryota; Metazoa; Chordata; Mammalia; Primates; Hominidae
Gene: PUS1-AS1
Product: PUS1 antisense RNA 1
Source: Ensembl